This 245-nucleotide ribosomal RNA is filed under the name Acinetobacter baumannii. Its description in RNAcentral is "partial 23S ribosomal RNA". It matches the Rfam family "Bacterial large subunit ribosomal RNA", at positions 60 to 308 of the family's 2925-position model. The record is from RNAcentral. Lineage: Bacteria; Pseudomonadati; Pseudomonadota; Gammaproteobacteria; Moraxellales; Moraxellaceae.
GAUAAGCUGCGAUAAGCUUUGGGUAGGCGCAAAUAGCCAGUGAUCCAGAGAUUUCCGAAUGGGGAAACCUACAUAGUUAACACUAUGUACUAUGCACUGAAUAAAUAGGUGUAUGGAGGUAAACCCGGGGAACUGAAACAUCUAAGUACCCGGAGGAAGAGAAAGAAACAUCGAUUUCCAAAGUAGCGGCGAGCGAAAUGGAAAGAGCCCAAACCUAAGCCUUUGGCUUAGGGGUUGAGGACAGA